ACGGCUCAGUAACACNUGGACUAAUCUGCCCUUGGGACCCGGAACACCCCCGGGAAACUGGGGCUAAUUCUCGAUAGGUGAAGAACUCUGGAAUGAGUCUUUGCCAAAAAGACGUUUACGUUAUGCUCGUAGGCGUCGCCCAAGGAUGAGGCCGCGACCGAUCAGGUUGUUGGUGAGGUAAUGGCUCACCAAGCCUUUUACCGGUGCGGGCCGUGAGAGCGGGAGCCCGGAGAUGGGCACUGAGACAAGGGCCCAGGCCCUACGGGGCGCAGCAGUCGCGAAAACUUUGCAAUACACGAAAGUGUGACAGGGCUAUCCCGAGUGCCAUCCGCUGAGGAAGGCUUUUACCCAGUCUAGAACGCUGGGGGAAUAAGGAGAGGGCAAGUCUGGUGUCAGCCGCCGCGGUAAUACCAGCUCUCCGAGUGGUGUGGAUGUUUAUUGGGCCUAAAGCAUCCGUAGCUGGCUAAGUUAGUCCCCUGUUAAAUCCACCGAAUUAAUCGUUGGAUUGCGGGGGAUACUGCUUGGCUAGGGGACGAGAGAGGCAGACGGUAUUUCCGGGGUAGGGGUGAAAUCCUAUAAUCCCGGGAAGACCACCAGUGGCGAAGGCUGUCUGCUAGAACGCGCCCGACGGUGAGGGAUGAAAGCUGGGGGAGCGAACCGGAUUAGAUACCCGGGUAGUCCCAGCUGUAAACGAUGCAGGCUAGGUGUUUGGACGGCCACGUGCCGUUCUAGUGCCGCAGGGAAGCUGUUAAGCCUGCCGCCUGGGGAGUACGAUCGCAAGAUUGAAACUUAAAGGAAUUGGCGGGGGAGCAC
This 813-nucleotide ribosomal RNA is filed under the name uncultured archaeon. RNAcentral describes it as "bacterial SSU rRNA". It matches the Rfam family "Archaeal small subunit ribosomal RNA", at positions 85 to 879 of the family's 1478-position model. The record is from RNAcentral.